This is a non-coding RNA of Schistosoma rodhaini, 46 nucleotides long. Lineage: Eukaryota; Metazoa; Platyhelminthes; Trematoda; Strigeidida; Schistosomatidae. The record is from Rfam.
GCACUUCUGAGGAGUCCCAUGAUGGGACGAAACGACCGUCUAGUAU